RNAcentral lists this ribosomal RNA (445 nucleotides) under uncultured bacterium. Its description in RNAcentral is "partial 16S ribosomal RNA". It matches the Rfam family "Bacterial small subunit ribosomal RNA", at positions 354 to 796 of the family's 1533-position model. The record is from RNAcentral.
GUGAGGAAUCUUGCGCAAUGGGGGAAACCCUGACGCAGCAACGCCGCGUGAGUGAUGAAGGUCUUCGGAUCGUAAAGCUCUGUUGUAAGGGAAGAACGUCUCUGUAAGAAACAGGGAGUGACGGUACCUUACCAGAAAGCCACGGCUAACUCCGUGCCAGCAGCCGCGGUAAUACGGAGGGUGCGAGCGUUGUUCGGAAUUAUUGGGCGUAAAGCGCGUGUAGGCGGUUUGGUAAGUCUGAUGUGAAAGCCCCGGGCUCAACCUGGGAAGUGCAUUGGAAACUGUCAGACUUGAAUACGGGAGAGGGUAGUGGAAUUCCUAGUGUAGGAGUGAAAUCCGUAGAUAUUAGGAGGAACACCGGUGGCGAAGGCGGCUACCUGGACCGAUAUUGACGCUGAGACGCGAAAGCGUGGGGAGCAAACAGGAUUAGAUACCCUAGUAGUCC